AAGGCUUGACAUACACCGGUAACGCCCAGAGAUGGGUGCCCCCUUGUGGUCGGUGGACAGGUGGUGCAUGGUUGUCGUCAGCUCGUGUCGUGAGAUGUUGGGUUAAGUCCCGCAACGAGCGCAACCCUCGUCCUAUGUUGCCAGCGGGUCAUGCCGGGGACUCAUGGGAGACUGCCGGGGUCAACUCGGAGGAAGUGGGAUGACGUCAAAUCAUCAUGCCCCUUAUGUCUUGGGCUUCACGCAUGCUACAAUGGCCGGUACAAAGGGCUGCGAUACCGCGAGGUGGAGCGAAUCCCAGAAAGCCGGUCUCAGUUCGGAUUGGGGUCUGCAACUCGACCCCAUGAAGUCGGAGUCGCUAGUAAUCGCAGAUCAGCAACGCUGCGGUGAAUACGUUCCCGGGCCUU
Molecule: ribosomal RNA, 404 nt
Filed under: uncultured Cellulomonas sp.
Lineage: Bacteria; Bacillati; Actinomycetota; Actinomycetes; Micrococcales; Cellulomonadaceae
Description: bacterial SSU rRNA
Rfam family: Bacterial small subunit ribosomal RNA
Source: RNAcentral